RNAcentral lists this ribosomal RNA (458 nucleotides) under uncultured Geobacillus sp. Its description in RNAcentral is "bacterial SSU rRNA". It matches the Rfam family "Bacterial small subunit ribosomal RNA", at positions 924 to 1382 of the family's 1533-position model. Lineage: Bacteria; Bacillati; Bacillota; Bacilli; Caryophanales; Anoxybacillaceae. The record is from RNAcentral.
CACAAGCGGUGGAGCAUGUGGUUUAAUUCGAAGCAACGCGAAGAACCUUACCAGGUCUUGACAUCCCCUGACAACCCAAGAGAUUGGGCGUUCCCCUCGGGGGACAGGGUGACAGGUGGUGCAUGGUUGUCGUCAGCUCGUGUCGUGAGAUGUUGGGUUAAGUCCCGCAACGAGCGCAACCCUCGCCUCUAGUUGCCAGCAUUCGGUUGGGCACUCUAGAGGGACUGCCGGCGACAAGUCGGAGGAAGGUGGGGAUGACGUCAAAUCAUCAUGCCCCUUAUGACCUGGGCUACACACGUGCUACAAUGGGCGGUACAAAGGGCUGCGAACCCGCGAGGGGGAGCGAAUCCCAAAAAGCCGCUCUCAGUUCGGAUUGCAGGCUGCAACUCGCCUGCAUGAAGCCGGAAUCGCUAGUAAUCGCGGAUCAGCACGCCGCGGUGAAUACGUUCCCGGGCCUU